GAAACGUGGUGUAAUACCGGAUGUGGCCGGAGGAUGGCAUCUUCUUCCGAUCAAAUGGUUUUUCGCUUUAGGAGCGGCUUACGGCCUAUCAGGUAGUUGGUGGGGUAAUGGCCUACCAAGCCGACGACGGGUAGCGGGUCUGAGAGGAUGAUCCGCUCGAGUGGGACUGAGACACGGCCCACACACCUACGGGUGGCAGCAGUUGGGAAUCAUUGGCAAUGGGGGAAACCCUGACCAUGCGACGCCGCGCGGAGGAUGAAAGAUCUAGGUCUGUAAACUCCUUUUGCACGGAAAGACUUAGGACGGUACCGUGCGAAUAAGCACCGGCUAACUACGUGCCAGCAGCCGCGGUAAGACGUAGGGUGCAAGCGUUGUCCGGAUUUACUGGGCGUAAAGAGCGCGUAGGCGGUCUGUUAAGUGAGAAGUGAAAUCUCCAGGGCUCAACCCGGAAACUGCUUUUCAUACUGGCAGACUUGAGGGAUGCAGAGGUAUGUGGAAUUCCUGGUGUAGCGGUGAAAUGCAUUGAUAUCAGGAGGAACACCCAUGGCGAAGGCAGCAUACUGGGCAUCAUCUGACGCUGAGGCGCGAAAGCGUGGGUAGCAAACAGGAUUAGAUACCCUGGUAGUCCACGCCCUAAACGAUGGAUACUAGGCGUAAGAGGUAUCGACCCCUCUUGUGCCGCAGCUAACGCAUUAAGUAUCCCGCCUGGGGAGUACGGCCGCAAGGUUGAAACUCAAAGGAAUUGACGG
This 749-nucleotide ribosomal RNA is filed under the name uncultured Armatimonadota bacterium. RNAcentral describes it as "bacterial SSU rRNA". It matches the Rfam family "Bacterial small subunit ribosomal RNA", at positions 153 to 916 of the family's 1533-position model. Lineage: Bacteria; Bacillati; Armatimonadota. The record is from RNAcentral.